Molecule: ribosomal RNA, 251 nt
Filed under: uncultured prokaryote
Description: partial 16S rRNA
Rfam family: Bacterial small subunit ribosomal RNA
Source: RNAcentral
ACAGGGGUGGCAAGCGUUGUCCGGAAUUACUGGGUGUAAAGGGUGCGUAGGCGGGUGAAUAAGUCAGUGGUAAAAUCCUACAGCUUAACUGUAGACCCACCAUUGAUACUGUUCAUCUUGAGUGCAAGAAAGAAGAUUGGAAUUCCCAGUGUAGCGGUGAAAUGCGUAGAGAUUGGGAAGAACACCAGUAGCGAAGGCGGAUCUUUGGCUUGUAACUGACGCUGAUGCACGAAAGCGCGGGGAGCAAACAG